AGCGAACGCUGGCGGCAGGCCUAACACAUGCAAGUCGAACGAACCUUUCGGGGUUAGUGGCGGACGGGUGAGUAACACGUGGGAACGUGCCUUUAGGUUCGGAAUAACUCAGGGAAACUUGUGCUAAUACCGAAUGUGCCCUUCGGGGGAAAGAUUAAUCGCCUUUAGACCGGCCCGCGUCUGAUUAGCUAGUUGGUUGAGGUAAUGGCUCACCAAGGCGACGAUCAGUAGCUGGUCUGUGAGGAUGAUCAGCCACAUUGGGACUGAGACACGGCCCAAACUCCUACGGGGGGCAGCAGUAGGGAAUCUUGCGCAAGGGGCGAAAGCCUGACGCAGCCAUGCCGCGUGAAUGAUGAAGGUCUUAGGAUUGUAAAAUUCUUUCACCGGGGACGAUAAUGACGGUACCCGGAGAAGAAGCCCCGGCUAACUUCGUG
This 434-nucleotide ribosomal RNA is filed under the name uncultured bacterium. RNAcentral's name for it is "partial 16S ribosomal RNA". It matches the Rfam family "Bacterial small subunit ribosomal RNA", at positions 29 to 507 of the family's 1533-position model. The record is from RNAcentral.